This 253-nucleotide ribosomal RNA is filed under the name uncultured bacterium. RNAcentral describes it as "partial 16S ribosomal RNA". It matches the Rfam family "Bacterial small subunit ribosomal RNA", at positions 524 to 776 of the family's 1533-position model. The record is from RNAcentral.
UACGAGUGCCCCAAGCGUUAUCCGGAAUCAUUGGGCGUAAAGGGCGCGUAGGCGGCGCAACAAGUCACUUGUGAAAUCUCCGGGCUUAACUCGGAGCGGCCAAGUGAUACUGUCGUGCUAGAGUGCGGAAGGGGCUACUGGAAUUCUCGGUGUAGCGGUGAAAUGCGUAGAUAUCGAGAGGAACACCUGCGGCGAAGGCGGGUAGCUGGGCCGACACUGACGCUGAGGCGCGAAAGCCAGGGGAGCGAACGGG